GCCGGGCGUUGUGGCGGGCGCCUGUGUUCCCAGCUACUUGGGAGGCGGAGGCAGGAGACUCGCUUGAGCCCAGGAGUUGGAGGUUGCUGUGAGCUGUGAUGCCACGUCACUCUACCCAGGGGGACAGCUUGAGGCUCUGUCUCAAAAAAAAAAAAAAAAAAAGAAACAGAGUUUCAUUUUAUCCCCCUUGGUAGAGUGCCAUGGCAUCACACAACUGACAGCAACCUCCAACUCCUGGGCCUAGGCGAUUCUCUUGCCUCUG
Non-coding RNA from Otolemur garnettii (small-eared galago), 262 nucleotides. The record is from Rfam. Lineage: Eukaryota; Metazoa; Chordata; Mammalia; Primates; Galagidae.